GAUGAAGAACGCAGCGAAAUGCGAUACGUAAUGUGAAUUGCAGAAUUCAGUGAAUCAUCGAAUCUUUGAACGCAUAUUGCGCUCUCUGGUAUUCCGGAGAGCAUGCUUGUUUGAGUAUCAGUAAACACCUCAACUUCCAUAUCUUUUUUGAAAUGGGAGUUGGACUUGAGUGAUCCCAACGCUUUUCCUCACCGAAAAGUGGCGGGUUACUUGAAAUGCAGGUGCAGCUGGGCUUUUCUCUGAGCUAUAAGCAUAUCUAUUUAGUCUGCCUAAAAAACAGAUUAUUACCUUUGCUGCAGCUAACAUAAAGGAGAUUAGUUCUUGUGCUGACUGAUGCAGGAUUCACAAAGACAGGCUUCGGCCGACUUUGUAAACUCGAUCUCAAAUCAAGUAAGACUACCCGCUGAACUUAAGCAUAUCAAUAAGCGGAGGA
RNAcentral lists this unclassified non-coding RNA (433 nucleotides) under soil metagenome. RNAcentral describes it as "partial contains 5.8S ribosomal RNA, internal transcribed spacer 2, and large subunit ribosomal RNA". The stretch from base 1 to 120 matches the Rfam family "5.8S ribosomal RNA", at positions 35 to 154 of the family's 154-position model. The record is from RNAcentral.